This 478-nucleotide long non-coding RNA is filed under the name Ananas comosus (pineapple). RNAcentral's name for it is "long non-coding RNA (ACOM_LNC033070)". Lineage: Eukaryota; Viridiplantae; Streptophyta; Magnoliopsida; Poales; Bromeliaceae. The record is from RNAcentral.
GCGCGCACAGCGCCUAAAUCGCAUCUAACACGCAAACCGGGGAACCGUUGACCCCGACGGAGGUGAGAACGAUGCUCGGCACGGAGUAACGAUGAUCGUGCUCACUUCCACUGUCAUCGGGGUACCUUCGGAUUGCCCGAAAGGUGACCGGAACCCUAAACUACAGUGCUGGAACUUAAAACAGUAGCAUACCGGAGUGCAGGGAGCUAGGGUUGGCCGCCGGCGGCCGGACGGCGGGCGCUCCGGCCGGGGAAGGGUGCGGCACGUCGGAGGGGUCCGGGGCAAGUGCUGGCCGGCGGCGGGUGGCGGCCGGUGGCGCGGCGGAGGAGAUCCAAUCCUCGACUUGCUCUCGGGUUCAUGGGUUCCCGGCGGCGCGGCGGCGGCCGGAGGAGGUCGGGGUGGCGACGAACCGGCGGCGGAGGCCGAGGAGAAGGCGGUGCAACCCCCGGUUGGCGGCGGCGGCGCUUGGAAGCCGAGC